UUUCAGCAUAUUUGUUUAUUUCCGAUAACUUCAGUUGCGGAUGUGGACGCAUCCUUUUAGCGAGGGGGAAAAACAGUGGUGAAAUCAGCGGGAGGAGGUCAUUGGAGCUGUGGUCUAAAUCCUUCAACAACCGCCAUGGAAAUAACCUCCUGCUCCACGCUCUAUACUCAUCCUAUCAAAAGAACCACAUCUUGCAAUUGCUUCUACUCCCAUGCCGGACUUAAUCUGCCAACAACCAGAUUCCAUCCCUCUUCUCCACAUCUCUCUGUUUUCUCGAGAAGCUUUACCUCCACUGGGAAGAGUUUACGAAUCAGGACACCAGUUGCUCUCAGCACUACCAGCCGUUCUAACAACUAUUCAUCCCAAGAACUCGCGGUUCUUCUCGAAGUUGAAGGAGUCCUUGUGGAUGCAUAUCGCUCAACUAAUCGCCAAGCUUUCAAUGAGGCAUUUCGGAAGCUUGGACUUGACUGUGCAAAUUGGACUGAUCCUGUAUAUUCAGACCUUGUCAGGAAGAAUGCUGCUAAUGAGGAACGAAUGCUAAUUAUGUAUUUUAACCGUAUUGGUUGGCCGACUUCACUACCAACAAAUGAGAAGGAAUCAUUUAUUAAAAGUGUUCUGCGAGAAAAGAAAAAUGCAUCAGAUGAAUUGAUGGUUUCACAAAGUUUACCUUUACGGCCUGGAGUUGAAGAUUUCAUUGACAAUGCAUAUAACGAGGGAAUACCUGUGAUUAUUCUCACAGCCUACAGCAAAAGUGGAGAAGAAAUUGCUAGAUCUAUCAUUAAUAAGCUUGGACCUGAGAGAAUAUCCAAAGUAAAGAUUGUUGGGAAUGAGGAGACAAGACAGAGUUUAUACAGUGAAGUUGUGCGUGGUCAAGCAAAGCAUUCAGGUUUGGACGAGCAACUAGCUAAGGAAGCAAUGAAAGCAGCUUCUGCGGAGAAACAAAGGAUUGCCGAGAAAGUUGCAUCUGCGCUGAAGUUGAGCGUCGAGAUAAAUACUACCUCAUCUGAAAGUUUGGACAAGAUCAUAUGUGCAUUGCGUGCUGGAGCAGAACUUGCGGACAUACCUGUUUCCAAUUGCAUCCUUAUUGCAGGAACCCAGUCUGGGGUUGAUGGAGCUGAGCGAAUAGGCAUGCCGCGUAUUGUGCUCCGUAGCAGUUUGACAUCACGAGCUGAGUUCCCUUCAGCAAACGCUAUAAUGGAUGGCUUUGGAGUAGGUGGCUUGACCAUUACCAGAUUACGGCAAAAGACAUGGUCCUCAGAUGCAUGACCCCAUCAUUACUUGCUGUCCUCUUCAUGACCGUUAAAUCUCAGUGUUAUGACGAUGCCCUUGUCCUAUUACCCGACAAUUUUCAUGAUUCGAAUUUCCAUGUUUGCGUAGAGACACGUAUGGCCAUGACUUAUAUUCUUGGGAUUUUGAAUCCUUGCUACCAAAUAAUAACCCUCCUUGAGCUGCAAAAGUUCAGAGAAUAUCUUCCAAAGAAAUAGACGAGAUUUCAUCCUA
Cucurbita maxima (winter squash) is the source of this 1500-nucleotide RNA transcript. It is a transcript of the gene named CBBY-like protein, with no coding region annotated. Lineage: Eukaryota; Viridiplantae; Streptophyta; Magnoliopsida; Cucurbitales; Cucurbitaceae. The transcript has 12 exons. The record is from RefSeq and is a predicted model, not a curated record.